RNAcentral lists this transfer RNA (65 nucleotides) under Dipodomys ordii (Ord's kangaroo rat). It matches the Rfam family "tRNA". From Rfam's summary of the family: Transfer RNA (tRNA) molecules are approximately 80 nucleotides in length. Their secondary structure includes four short double-helical elements and three loops (D, anti-codon, and T loops). Further hydrogen bonds mediate the characteristic L-shaped molecular structure. tRNAs have two regions of fundamental functional importance: the anti-codon, which is responsible for specific mRNA codon recognition, and the 3' end, to which the tRNAs corresponding amino acid is attached (by aminoacyl-tRNA synthetases). tRNAs cope with the degeneracy of the genetic code in two manners: having more than one tRNA (with a specific anti-codon) for a particular amino acid; and 'wobble' base-pairing, i.e. permitting non-standard base-pairing at the 3rd anti-codon position. Lineage: Eukaryota; Metazoa; Chordata; Mammalia; Rodentia; Heteromyidae. The record is from Rfam by way of RNAcentral.
GGUGGCUCAGUGGUAGAGUGCUUACCUUGUAUGCAAGAGGCCCUGGGUUCGAUUCCUCAGCACCA